This 589-nucleotide small RNA is filed under the name Pongo abelii (Sumatran orangutan). RNAcentral's name for it is "processed transcript". The record is from RNAcentral. Lineage: Eukaryota; Metazoa; Chordata; Mammalia; Primates; Hominidae.
GGAAGGACCUGAGUUUUCUUUACCCAUGGUCAGGGAGGCGCCAUCGCCCUGGCUUUGGGGCUGGGGCCUCAGGGGAGGUUCCGGUAGGGGCCUUGGAGAGGCUGCUCUUUUUGCAAGGCCCGACACGGCGGGCCCUGCGCAGGCCACCCUAUUCCCCGCCCUCAGGGCGUCAGUAUCCGCCUGAGGCCGGAUACCCCCGCUGGGCCCAGAUGCUCCCUCUGGGCCCGGAGCAUCCUCGGCGCUGCCCUCCCAGAGCCCCGCAGAGGCUGAAGUGGCGCGGGGUAGGGGGGCCCGGCUCCGCGAGAAGCGGCGGCAGCGAGGGCUGGAGGACCCGGGCUCCCGGGCUCCGGGUCUCCGGGGCUCCGGGGGGUCUGGCCUGGGUGGGACUGAGCCCAUCCAGGAACUGGGACUCCGGGGUUCUGGUGUGGGUGGAUCCGGGGCAGGCUCAGGACCAAGUCCCUCUCCUUCCACCAAGAAGCGCCCAGAGGCCGGCGGGAGCUCCAGGUUCACCUCCUCCUCCUCCAGGAAAACCCACUUCCAACUGGAUGUCUGGAUGAACUACUGAAAGCUGCUGAGUGUCCUGCAGCAG